This 484-nucleotide ribosomal RNA is filed under the name uncultured bacterium. RNAcentral's name for it is "partial 16S ribosomal RNA". It matches the Rfam family "Bacterial small subunit ribosomal RNA", at positions 29 to 507 of the family's 1533-position model. The record is from RNAcentral.
AUUGAACGCUGGCGGCAGGCCUAACACAUGCAAGUCGAGCGGAUGAAGGGAGCUUGCGCCGGGAGUCAGCGGCGGACGGGGGAGUGAUGCCUAUGAGUCUGCCGGGUAUGGGUGGAUAACGUCCGGAAAAGGGCGCUAAUACCGCAUACUACCUGAGGGAGCAGGUUGGGGAUCGUCGGACCGCACGCGAGCAGAUGAGCCUAGGUCGGAUUAGCUAGUUGGUGGGGUAAAGGCCUACCAAGGCGACGAUCGGUAACUGGUCUGAGAGGAUGAUAAGUCACAUUGGAACUGAGACACGGUCAAGACUCCUACGGGAGGGAGCAGUCGGGAAGAUUGGACAAUGGGCGAAAGUCUGAUACAGUCAUGCCGCGUGUGUGAAGAAGGUCUCCGGAUCGUAAAGACCGUCAAGUUGGGAGGAAGGGCAGUCAGUUAAUACCUUGCUGUUUUGACGUUACCAACAGAAUAAGCACCGGCUAACUUCGUG